GAAAGAUCUCCCAUGCUCAUGGAUUGGCAGGAUUAAUUUAGUAAAAAUGGCCAUUUUACCAAAAGCAAUCUACAGAUUCAAUGCAAUCCCCAUCAAAAUACCAAUCCAAUUCUUCAAAGAGUUAGACAGAACAAUUUGCAAAUUCAUCUGGAAUAACAAAAAACCCAGGAUAGCUAAAUCUAUCCUCAACAAUAAAAGGACUUCAGGGGGAAUCACUAUCCCUGAACUCAAGCAGUAUUACAGAGCAAUAGUGAUAAAAACUGCAUGGUAUUGGUACAGAGACAGACAGAUAGACCAAUGGAAUAGAAUUGAAGACCCAGAAAUG
RNAcentral lists this long non-coding RNA (325 nucleotides) under Rattus norvegicus (Norway rat). RNAcentral's name for it is "long non-coding RNA NONRATT030916". The record is from RNAcentral. Lineage: Eukaryota; Metazoa; Chordata; Mammalia; Rodentia; Muridae.